GUUGAACGCUGGCGGCAGGCCUAACACAUGCAAGUCGAAUGGUAACAGGAAACAGCUUGCUGUUUCGCUGACGAGUGGCGGACGGGUGAGUAAUGUCUGGGAAACUGCCUGAUGGAGGGGGAUAACUACUGGAAACGGUAGCUAAUACCGCAUAACGUCGCAAGACCAAAGAGGGGGACCUUCGGGCCUCUUGCCAUCAGAUGUGCCCAGAUGGGAUUAGCUAGUAGGUGGGGUAACGGCUCACCUAGGCGACGAUCCCUAGCUGGUCUGAGAGGAUGACCAGCCACACUGGAACUGAGACACGGUCCAGACUCCUACGGGAGGCAGCAGUGGGGAAUAUUGCACAAUGGGCGCAAGCCUGAUGCAGCCAUGCCGCGUGUAUGAAGAAGGCCUUCGGGUUGUAAAGUACUUUCAGCGGGGAGGAAGGGAGUAAAGUUAAUACCUUGGCUCAUUGACGUUACCCGCAGAAGAAGCACCGGCUAACUCCGUG
Molecule: ribosomal RNA, 490 nt
Filed under: uncultured bacterium
Lineage: Bacteria
Description: partial 16S ribosomal RNA
Rfam family: Bacterial small subunit ribosomal RNA
Source: RNAcentral